GACUGGAUUUCUCUUUUUAGCUUAGAUGAGCCAACAAAAGUUGUGGCAAUUGGACGGCUUCAAUCCCUUGAUCCUUCUACAAUAGUUGGAGGCCAACCACUAGGUUCGAAUUGGUGUGAAGUGCUAGUUCAAGUUGUGGUUGAACGUGAUGAGCAUUUGAUUAGGCCUUAUGUGCCUUUGCAGACAAUUGCUGAUUCAAUUGGUGCUCCUAUAGCUUGGCCAACAAAACUAGUAAAAAUUUGCGAAGAUUGAUGUGCUGAAAUUCAAAAGUGGACAAGGUGUUGCAGCAUAUGGAUACUUAUCCACUUAUAUGGAAGUGCUCUAACUGUAAAAGGACAAAGUGUUGCUGCACAUAUUACAAGAAGUUGGUCUACUAGCGGUUUAGUUGAUUUUAAUUUAUCUGGUGCUAUUUAGGUGAAAUCGUGGCAAACAAUUAGUAGGACAUUCUAGCUGUUUGAUGAAUGUUAAAACAAAUAUUAUGUUUUUUUUUUUGCAAGGAUGAAAGUUUAAUUGGUUGGUUGGAAAACUACUAGGAGUUAUAAGUACUUUAAUUGUAAUCAUUGGUUAUGGUGACAAUUUGAAAGUGGAUUUUCAAUCAAAUAUUGCUGGUUUUGGUCA
Molecule: long non-coding RNA, 618 nt
Organism: Coffea eugenioides
Lineage: Eukaryota; Viridiplantae; Streptophyta; Magnoliopsida; Gentianales; Rubiaceae
Exons: 2
Source: RefSeq, a predicted model, not a curated record